Molecule: long non-coding RNA, 65 nt
Organism: Syngnathus acus (greater pipefish)
Lineage: Eukaryota; Metazoa; Chordata; Actinopteri; Syngnathiformes; Syngnathidae
Exons: 3
Source: RefSeq, a predicted model, not a curated record
AGCAAUGCUGUUAAACCAGACAACUACAAUUAACUGCAGUUGAUGCUUGAACAUGCUGCCUGACA